This 6327-nucleotide long non-coding RNA is filed under the name Sus scrofa (pig). Its description in RNAcentral is "lncRNA (ENSSSCG00000054634.1)". The record is from RNAcentral. Lineage: Eukaryota; Metazoa; Chordata; Mammalia; Artiodactyla; Suidae.
GAGGAUAGAGUCUUGGUUUUAUUCUUUCCCCAGAUUUCCAUUUUAACCAUUAGAUCAUGAGUCCAUAGCCUUUGAAAAAAAUUGACAGAAUUGAUUCAGCCACCUCUGUUUCCUUGGAUAUCUUUGGUUCAGAUGUAGUUUACAGACUGGUUCAUAUAACAUAAAGCACAAAACAUCCAAAUGAUGAUGCCAUUUUGAAUUGAUAUUAAUGGGGUUAAGACCCAAUUCUGAAUUUGCAUUUAAUUUUAGUGACAUGAAUGGACUUGUUUUAUAAGUGGAAAUAAGCUUUAUACCAACAGUUAGAGAUUUCAAACUUUGUAGAAAUCACUAAUUAUCAUUCUUUGUGUUCUAUUCCACCAAAAUUAAAACUUUGACAUUGCCAUAAUCUUUGUAAGUGUUGUAAUAAUCCCUUUAGAGACUACAUCGUAAGGGCAAUUAUCAAGACUACAUUAAGAAUAUUUUCACAGGGAGUUCCAUUGUGGUUCAGUGGUAACAAACCCGAUUAGUAUCCAUGAGGAUGAGGGUUCAAUCCCUGGUCCCGUUCAGUGGGUUAAGGAUCCGGCAUUGCAGUGGGCUCUGGUGUAGAUUGCAGAUGUGGCUCAGGUCUGGAGUUGCUGUGGCUGUGGUGUAGGCCAGCAAGCUACAGCUCCAAUUGGACCACGAGCCUGGGAACUUCCAUGUGCCACAGGUAUGGCCCUAAAAAGAUCAAAAAGAAAAUAUAUCUAUACUUAUUAAUUUGCACCAAAAGAGAGAGGAAGUGAAAGAGAGAGAGAGCAAGAGAGAGAGAGAGAGAGAGGCUAUCAUUAACUACUAAUAGAGUCUGAAAGGAUAUAAGCGUGCUUAUUACAUUUUGAAACAGUUAAAAAAAUGCUAUUUUUUUCCUCAAGGGAUUUCCAUGGAGGUAUAUUCUUUCUUUGGGCAUUCCACUUUUAAGGUAAAAUAAUUCUCAAUUCACUAAUGUGUAAAACCCAUAUGAUUUAUAUAUGCUAUAAAGUAAGAAUUACUAAUGAAAAGUCAAUCACAUAACCAUCUUCUAAAUAUGGUUUAGAAAAGGAAAAUCUUGCCACUAAAACAUUGCAUGUUACUUAUAAAAACAUAAAUAGGACAUCCUUAUAUGUCUUUAUAAACUUCUGGUUUUUAAAGCUCAUCAUAGAAACUGCCUCCUGAGAAACAAAAUGCUAUUUGGUAUUUUUCCCUUACAGAAAGAUUGUUUCUUUAAUAGCUAACAACAGAAUUUUUGCAUGGGAAGGUCAAAUUGGAGCUGUCACUUCAGAAAUCAGCAAGGAGUGGAUUCAGAGUUUGUUUCCUCUUCCAACUAGUUCAUCUGCACAUAAAUGUUCAGGAGCCGAUGUUCUUUUAUCCUCAUGGGGCAAUGAGCUUCAAAUGAACCUGGUGUUCUAACUCUCAGCAGGGAAUAGUCCUGAUAGUAGGAGAUCCCAUUUGCCAUUAUCUAUUUGUGUUGCAAGGUAAUUCAUUUUGGGUUGAGAUCAAAUUGUUUUAAGCUGAGCUGGUAUUUUUAUUGGUGUCCUUCCAGCCAGCCUUCCUGGUAAGAACCGUCGUUAUUUCUAACAAGCUGACCUAAAGGAAAAGAUUAUUUCUGCCAGUGUGCAUUGUCACAAGGGAACAAAGAUGUGCAAGACCUAUUUUACGUUAGUUACUUAUUUUUAAAGCAUUGAUAGAGGUAUGAGAGUGGUAGUCUGCUCUUGGGGGAAAUCAGCUGACUAGUUGAUGAAGGGUCAGGAAAAAUGGGUGAUGAUGGGAACAUCUAAAACGAUCUGUUAGUAUUUGCUGUAAAAUUACCAUUUAAAGUUGAGGAAGGUAAUAUUUGCAAAAUGUAAUAGAUAUUGUAAAAAUACUGAAAAACUCAACUCCAAACUGCCAAGUAACAUAUAUCAUUGGUUUCUAUUGCUAUUUAAUUAUUUGAGAAAUUUGGCAUAUAUAUAUAUAGUAUAGUAUAUGUGUAUAUAUACACAUAUACACACACUUUAGUGUUAAAAAGAUUCAAGAAAAGGGAGUUCCUUUCGUGGCUCAGUGGUUAACAAACCUGACUAGGAUCCAUGAGGAUGCGGGUUCGAUCCCUGGCCUCACUCAUUGGGUUAAGGAUCUGGAGUUGCCGUUAGCUAUGGUGUAGGUUGCACAUGCAGCUUGGAUUCCACAUUGCUGUGGCUGUGGCAUAGCCCUGCAGCUGUAGCUCUGAUUUGACCCCUAGCUUGGGAACUUCCGUAUGCUGGGAGUGAGUCCCCUAAAAAAAAAAAAUGCAGAAAAAAAAGAUUCAAAAAAAGAAUUGUUAGCCCAUGAUUCCCUGAGUUUAACUUUGAAUCUUUUCAUAGUAAAAGGAUAAAACAUCUAAUUCUGAUCCAUUUCCCAUUUCAACAACAUAAACUGAUCACAACACCUAGGUAAGAUAGGUGUGUAUUUUUGUUCCCCAGAUUGCAUAAAAAUGGUUUAGACAGUUGGCCCAAGGCAUUUUAAAAAGUCGGCAUUUGAGUUCACAUUAAAACUCGUGUGAGUUCCCUUUGUGGCUCACCAGGUUAAGAACCUGACAUAGUGUCUGUGAGGACGCAGGUUUGAUCCCUGGCCUCUCUCAGUGGGUUAAGGAUCUGGGGUUCCUGCAGUCGGCAGAGGUGCAUAUGCUACAGGUGUGGCCUUAAAAAGAAAAAAAAAAAAACCAUGGAGUGUAUUUUGACACAGGACCUAUUCUAAGAUAACUUACACAUCACUGAAAAGCACAAAGUUUAAGACAUAUUUCAGCAACAGGGGUUAGAGCAGGACAACAAGCCAUUAUAAGACUUUCCUCAUGAAUGCCAUUUUCCUGGGUGGCUUUUUUAGAGUGGGAUCUCCUAUCUGCUGCUUUAACGAGGCUUAUGCUUAAACAGCUAUCUUGCCUGAGUGAAAAUAUCACUUCUGCCAAAAAUAAAAUUGGUGAAAUCUUCAGAUGGUGAGUAGAAUACAGUAGACUAUCUGCAAGGGUUUGGUUUCUUGUUCAGUUAGGACUGCUCCAUGACCAAGCCUUGUACAGAGGAGAAUUAUUUCCUCAACAAAGGGUGGGAGCCCUAGAAAGCAGACAGGAUAGAAUUGGGGAGAGGGGCGCAGCCCACAAAAUCUCACCCCAAAUCUAAUGUAGUCUCAUAUUGAUUGAUUGAUGGUCUUUUUAAAAGGGCUGCAGCUCCAGCAUAUGGAGGUUCCCAGGCUAGGAGCUGAAUUGGAGCUGUAGCCAGCCUACACCACAGCCACAGCAACACCCAAUCUGAGCCUCAUCUGCAACCUACACCACAGCUCAUGGCAACACCAGAUCCUUAACCCACUGAGUGAGGCCAGGGAUCCAACCCGCAUUCUUAUAGAUACUAGUUGGGCUCAUUACUGCUGCAUCAUAAUGCUAAACAAGUAGGGAAGCCCAUUAGAAUUUGGAGCGGGAGCUGUAUGUGUAUCAGAAAGGCCUCAGAUUAGAGCUGAAAGAAUGCUUACCCCUCAGUUCAGCCACUCCAGGUGACUUCUAUGGGAAAAUAUUUUUAGAGAAAAAUCAGUUUUAUGUUGAAAUCUUCAAAUCUCCUGAUAACUGCUGAUCCACCAUCAAAAAGCUGAAAGAGGAGUACGUGCUAGGCUCAGCGAUUCAGAGGAGCUGCUGCUUUUGGUUGUAAGAGAAAGUUGCUCCAGCAGUCAACUCUGAGCUCCGCCUACUUCAGGCACAGCUCCCUCUGGGCCCUGCCCCCAAACUUUUCUCCCUUUUCUAAAAGCUUUUGCGACAUGCUAGCCAGGAUAGGCGUGUUUCUCUGGGCAGUGUGGUCCUCUUCCCUGGCCUGCCUUCUGGGAGGUGUGGUGUAGAGCUGCUGGGGAGCAGAAGUCUGCCCAUUUACCCCCUAGAGCACAGGCAGGGCCAACCUCAGGGUUAGGCCGCAGGUCAGGAGGCAGAGGGUCUACCUGAGGCCCUGAGCACAGGAGGGGUCACAGAUGCUUGGUCCUCCUGUGGAGGUUGGAGAGAGGAGAGGCGUUUGGAUCUGUCUUGGUGGUACCUUCUCAGUGACUCCGAACUGAGGCCUAGAAGAGUAGUGGCACUGAUGUAGGCCAGGAUCCAGAAGACAUGAGGACUAAAUCCAAAGCUUACCAAAGAAUAAGCAGACUUGCAGCCAACUCCUCAGCUGUGCUAUGGCUGUACCAGUCUCAGAAAGAGAACCUUUAUUGCAAGUAAGAACGAUUGAUGUGAACACAGAAUACAUGGUCGGGGCAGAGACCCUUAGUUAUAGCUGGAAUCCUGGCCACUCAGGUUAUUAUGAGUUUUGCUUCCAUUCUCAGGGACAUUCAGAGUGUUCAGUACAUAAUUCAAAGAGUACAUGUAGAGGAGUUUCCUUGUGGCUUAGCAGGUUAAGGAUCCGGUGUUGUCACUGCUGUGGCUUUGGUUAUAGCUGUGGCAUGGGUUAUAUCCCAGGCCCAUAAACUUCUGCAUGCUGUGGGCAUAGCCAAAAAAAAAAAAAAAAAAAAAAAAAAAAAGGAAAUGUGGUGGCUUUUCCAGGUGGUGAGUGCCUUUUCCUGUAUGAUCUUGGAAGGGUUAAAAAAAAUACAUAACAAAACUGCACUUGGCAAUGGGGGUUGGAAGAUCCAAUGUUUUUAUUUCAGUAACUAAACUCCUGAUGAAUGGCAUACUAUAUCGUAAAAUGUUGGCUUUUUAAAGCAGGUUUGAACUUUUACACAAUCUGUUUUAACACUGGCAUGCACACCUGUAUACAUAUAUACUGAGAUGGUUCUAAUUCUUAAUUAAAAAAAUUUGACAAAACUAAAAUGUUAAAUGUACACUAUAAUGAAAACACUGCUAUAACACCAACCAGAUGGCUUGUAUUCCUUGGAAAAUUAUUUAAAGCAUUUUGACUUAGAGGGAUAGCUUUAUUAUUUAAAGAAAUUCUUCAAACUGUAAAUAAAGGCAGCUCUUUGGCCCAGUGCACUGUCUCCUUAGUUUGCCUAAUUAUAAGAACCACUGGGGUGCUUAUUAAGCAUUUGAACCUUCAGAGCCCAAACUGGUCCUUCUGCAUCUUAAUCUCUAGAGUCAAAGAUAGGGAUCCUCACUCAUCCAGGUAAUUCUUAUGAUCAAGUAAGUUCAAACUCAGUUUUGUAAAGUAGCAAAUGGGCCUUGGAAGUUGAUUUUUUUUUAACGUCUAUGAAGGUAGAAUUAGUUCCUUCAAACAGUUUUAAUUUUUAAAAACCUUUUAUAUAAAACACUUUCAAAUCAUAGUUUUAUGUUCAAUGAGAAAAAAAUGUACCACGUAUGACAAGCAAAUGUAAGGAUUGGCUCCUGCUUGCCAAAUUUGAACAUGAAAGUGAUAAUUGAUGUUCCUAUCUAAAUGUCACCAAGCAGUAAUUUAAAAAAAGCUUUUACUAAAACUGUAUAUAUUUUGAAAGCAUCAAAGCCACUAUUGACCCAAAUAUCAAAGCAGUUUUUUUUUUUUAAAUCUCUACAUCCCAGAAAUAGAGGAAGUUAAGGUUUUACAAAAUCUUCAUUUGCAAAAACCUACUUGCCUUUUUACCUAUGGUGAAAAGAUAAAUGAAAAAUUAGUAGAUGGAUUCAUAAAACAAUUGGUAGAAAGAGUGUCCCAGUGGCCCCACGAUUAAUACUAUUGCACUGAAGGCCCGAGGUGGAAGCUUUAUACUUCUUAUAUUCUGGGCACCACUACCUCCCCUCACAGAUGCAAAGUCUAAGGCUUCAAAAGGUUAAAACUUGCCCAGCACCACACAGCUCACAGCUGGUCCCAACAUCUGUUCUCAGGCCCAUCCACCAUCCUGCACUCUAACUGACCCUGGAAUAACACAGCAGCCAUAGGGCCACUACUGUCUUACUGGAACCCAAAGAAAAUGAGAUGGGAAGCAGCGCAAGUAUCAAUUACAGGUUGAAAUAUUUUCUAGUUCAAGUUUUCCUAUUAAACAUAACACAAUAGUAUAUGGCAUACAUUUUCCUUUUGUGUGUAUUGCUAAAACAAAUUUUCAUUGAAAAACAACUACAAAAAUUCCAAACUAAAUUCCGGACUAAAUUGAUCUGUAAGCAUGUGCAUCUUUCUCAACAAGCAUUCGCACCUAGAUGCAACUAGAAAUUAUCAUCGUAAGUGAAGUAGGUCAGGAAGAGAAGGACAAAUACCAUAUGCUAUCACUCACAUGUGGAAUCUAAAAUAUGGCACAAAUGAGCCUAUCUACAAAACAGAAACAGACUCACAAACAUGGAGAAUAGACUGUGGUUGCAAAGGGGGGAUGGGAAAGGGAGUGGGAUGGGCAGGGAGUUUGGGGUUAAUAGGUGCAAAUGAUCACAUUUUGAAUGGACAAGGUCCUACUGUAUAGCUCAGGGAACUA